CUCUUUGAACAUGAAGAUUCCACUGCAGGAGGCAACCUCUUCUUGGCGUUCAAACGCUGGCGCCCUCAAGAAUCAGUCACUCACUCACCCUUCACAACACUUCUCACCUGUAUUUGAAGGCAGAAGAAGUUAAAACACAAAGCCCCUUUCCAUCCUGAAGCAUGCAGCCCCUUCCCAUGCUAUGGGGCACCCUCUUCUGGUUUUGGAGCAUUCACCAACAUUGAAGAGGACACAGUUCUUGUUGCAGUCCACAGCAUCAAAGGAUGAGACAUCCUCCUAUUGGGAGCCUGGAAACAACAACAACAACACUACAGGGAGAAAAAUUGCUCCAAAUCCUGCUGACUGAAGAGAAGAGGCAUUAAAAUGGCGAGGAGAGAACAAGCAUUGAUCAGAUUCUGUGUCUACUCAACAUAAAAGCUAUCCAGACUACUAAGGGAAAAGGAGAAGUUUUGAAACACAUAUAGACACUCAGAAACCUGAACAGACCAGUAGAAGACCAAAAUGAAUGGCUGAAACUGGUAGAAAAUAGUGGAAACUGAGGAUGUAGAAGAAGAAAGAAGUUCUGUAUUACAUAGCACAUCUGAGGAAGGUUUAUUCCAAUAAAUAUCUUUAUAAGAGAAAGGAUGGUGUUGUGAUGAAGGCAUGGAAAUGGGAGAUGUGGAUUCUACUGCCAGCAUUGACACAGACCUCCUGUGAGAAGUUACUAAACUCUUCUCCACCUCAGUAGAAUGGGAAUGGUAUUCCUCUGUGUCACAGCUUUGCUAAGUUGUAAAUCUUUCCAAAGUGUAA
Mauremys mutica (yellowpond turtle) is the source of this 789-nucleotide long non-coding RNA. RefSeq lists it as uncharacterized. NCBI's taxonomy places the organism in Eukaryota, Metazoa, Chordata, Testudines, Geoemydidae. The record is from RefSeq and is a predicted model, not a curated record. The transcript has 4 exons.